GGGAAUCUGUUUAAAAUCAUUGACAGGCCUGAGAGUUUUCCAUACGGCCUGCACCCUAACCUCUGGGAAGAAAAUAUCCACAAUGAAAUUUCUACAAGAUUAGAGGAAGGAGAGAGGCAACGGGGAUUCCAUUUCUACUAGGAGUAUCAACCUCUGAGAGAAAAAUAUCCAUCUCUGUGGAUGUCAUCUGCUCUGCAGAAAACCCUUUCCUGGAACUCCCAGUCCGUCACUUUAGUGUUGAACCUGCCACCUUCAGAUUCACACUGCAGCACCUCAGGAACUGCUGUACUGAAGCUCCUGCACAUCUGUGAAGUGUGGAAGCUGUGGGUGAAAACAGUAAAUACUUCCAGUUGCCCGUGUGUGUCACUUAACCGAGGAAUCCUGGGAAAGUAAAAGUUGUCACCACAAAAUAGCUACUGUAGUGGAAGAACGUCUCUGUCAUUUUCUGUAAUGAAAAAUCUGGUAACAUCUGCACACUCAGAUUCAGAGUUAUUGGGUUAGACUCUAGUCCUUAAUACCAGAAAGGGUGAACUUAAUACCUAUUUUUAUAUGUGGAGGAAGAACAUGGGCAGUGGGAAGGGUAACUGACUUUUUUCAUUUUCAUUUUGAGUCUCUUUGUCUUUGAGAUAACUACUUAUUACCAAAGGAUUUUGGCAAAUUUUUCUCUCAUUUGUAAAAAAGCAAAUAAAGAAUCCUUUCUUUCUCAUUAUUAGCUGUGGCCUGGUUCUUGGCUCCACUCCAGGUGAACGUGAUGUCACAGAAGAAAAUGAAUCUCCGGCGAAUUGAGAAGUGCACUGACCUGGUGAAUGUAUGUGGGUUCUGGCUGGUGGUGCCAUUUUGGUAACAUCUACUGGUGCACCUUGGAAACCAUAGGUCAUCAUGAUGGUGAAUUUUAUAUUUCAAGUUGCCUG
This 911-nucleotide long non-coding RNA is filed under the name Homo sapiens (human). RNAcentral's name for it is "HSALNT0375564". Lineage: Eukaryota; Metazoa; Chordata; Mammalia; Primates; Hominidae. The record is from RNAcentral.